UGCUAGUGAAAUGGGAAAAAUUCCCUUGUCCCCCUCACAGGGCAUGUGAUGGGGGUGUGGCUCGCUUCUUCAGUGCCUUGCGGCUCAAACCUCUAGGAGGAGUAUGCAGACCGGCAGGUUGUGGGGCUCCGACUCCACAACAGCGUCUGGGGUGAAUGUUUACAGCAGAAGCCCCAGUGGGUGUGUGCUGUAGGGUGCUCUUUCAGUUUAGCCGUCUGUAGGCAACUUGUGUUACACAGCUCAAUUAGACCCCCUGCCUUAUCGCAACGACAGAGGGCUUUCGGUAUCCCAGGGUUUCUUGCCUUGGUGUACCGGAAGAAUCAGAUCACACUUGGGCUUGGAGAAUGAGUGCAAGGUUUUAUUGAAUGGAAGUAGCUCUCAGAAGAUGGGAGAGCCAGAAGGGAGAUGGAAUGGGAAGGUGUUUUUUUCCUGGAGUCGGACUGCUCAGCAGCUGGACUCUCCUCCGACUGCCCAGGCCAAACUCCACAUCGUUCUGCAGGUUGAUGGCCUGCCGGCGUGCCCCAGCGUGCCGUUGUCUGCUGGUGCUUGUCAGUGUGCUCUUCCGCCAGUGUGUUCCUCUUGACAUCCAGCCACCUGUGAGUUCCUCCACCAAUGUGUUCCUCUCGACGUCCAGCGGCUUGUGUCUCUGCCUGCGAGGGUCUCAGAGUUUUUAUAGGUACAGGAUGGGGGCAUGAUGGGCCAGGGUGGUCUUGGGAAAGAUCAAAAUCGGUCAUGGGAAGAAGCAAAUGGGACAGAAUCCAGGAAAAGUUCCAAAUGCAGAGCUUCUGUGGUCUUCUCCCUGUAGAGUCAUGGACCAUGUUACUUUCCCUUCACUAAUGUAUGACAACACACACAAACUAUUACCAACGAGGGGAGCUCACCUGAGCCUUGGUGCCCAGAGUCCAUCUUGGG
RNAcentral lists this long non-coding RNA (912 nucleotides) under Homo sapiens (human). RNAcentral describes it as "HSALNT0282213". The record is from RNAcentral. Lineage: Eukaryota; Metazoa; Chordata; Mammalia; Primates; Hominidae.